GAUUAACGCUAGCGGCAGGCCUAAUACAUGCAAGUCGAACGGCAGCACGGGUAGCAAUACCUGGUGGCGAGUGGCGCACGGGUGCGUAACGCGUAUGCAAUCUACCUAUAACUGGGGAAUAGCCUUCCGAAAGGAAGAUUAAAACCGCAUAAUAUCACGAAGCGGCAUCGUUUUGUGAUCAAAUCUCCGGAGGUUAUAGAUGAGCAUGCGUGACAUAGCUAGUUGGUGAGGUAACGGCUCACCAAGGCUACGAUGUCUAGGGGGUCUGAGAGGAUGAU
RNAcentral lists this ribosomal RNA (278 nucleotides) under uncultured bacterium. RNAcentral's name for it is "partial 16S ribosomal RNA". It matches the Rfam family "Bacterial small subunit ribosomal RNA", at positions 28 to 304 of the family's 1533-position model. The record is from RNAcentral.